UAACAGAGACUUUUUCGUAAAUC
RNAcentral lists this non-coding RNA (23 nucleotides) under Drosophila melanogaster (fruit fly). The record is from RNAcentral. Lineage: Eukaryota; Metazoa; Arthropoda; Insecta; Diptera; Drosophilidae.